This 465-nucleotide ribosomal RNA is filed under the name Vreelandella stevensii. RNAcentral's name for it is "partial 16S ribosomal RNA". It matches the Rfam family "Bacterial small subunit ribosomal RNA", at positions 338 to 795 of the family's 1533-position model. Lineage: Bacteria; Pseudomonadati; Pseudomonadota; Gammaproteobacteria; Oceanospirillales; Halomonadaceae. The record is from RNAcentral.
CCUACGGGUGGCAGCAGUGGGGAAUAUUGGACAAUGGGGGCAACCCUGAUCCAGCCAUGCCGCGUGUGUGAAGAAGGCCCUCGGGUUGUAAAGCACUUUCAGUGAGGAAGAACGCCUGGUGGUUAAUACCCAUCAGGAAAGACAUCACUCACAGAAGAAGCACCGGCUAACUCCGUGCCAGCAGCCGCGGUAAUACGGAGGGUGCGAGCGUUAAUCGGAAUUACUGGGCGUAAAGCGCGCGUAGGUGGCUUGAUAAGCCGGUUGUGAAAGCCCCGGGCUCAACCUGGGAACGGCAUCCGGAACUGUCAAGCUAGGGUGCAGGAGAGGAAGGUAGAAUUCCCGGUGUAGCGGUGAAAUGCGUAGAGAUCGGGAGGAAUACCAGUGGCGAAGGCGGCCUUCUGGACUGACACUGACACUGAGGUGCGAAAGCGUGGGUAGCAAACAGGAUUAGAUACCCUGGUAGUC